Molecule: long non-coding RNA, 388 nt
Organism: Dendronephthya gigantea
Lineage: Eukaryota; Metazoa; Cnidaria; Anthozoa; Malacalcyonacea; Nephtheidae
Exons: 3
Source: RefSeq, a predicted model, not a curated record
UCCGAGAGACAAAUAAUCUUGGUAUAUUAAAUCUGUCAAAUUGUACGGAAAGAGGAAAAUCUUUGACUGUUUAGUUUACAAACGGCCAUGCUCGGGGGAAAAUUGCGUGAAUGAUAUGAAGUUUGAUGGUUAUUCUUACACCGUACUGAACAUGGGGAAUUACCUAAUAUCCUAUGAAGUUCUAAGGGAAUACAUGUUCUUGUUUUUGAAAGGAGGUGUAUCCAUGAAUACGUAUUACCAGUCAUGGGCGUUGUCUCUAGAGUCUUCUUUGAACAUCAAUUUAAACGAUACGCUAAAAUAUAACCAUUGGCGAUCAGCAUGGUAUGCGUUCUUGCAACUUCUGGACAUUGAUUUCACAGAUGGUUUUGAAUGCCCAACGUGCAAAAGU